RNAcentral lists this ribosomal RNA (253 nucleotides) under uncultured bacterium. Its description in RNAcentral is "partial 16S ribosomal RNA". It matches the Rfam family "Bacterial small subunit ribosomal RNA", at positions 524 to 776 of the family's 1533-position model. The record is from RNAcentral.
UACGUAGGGUGCAAGCGUUAAUCGGAAUUACUGGGCGUAAAGCGUGCGCAGGCGGUUGUGUAAGUCUGUCGUGAAAUCCCCGGGCUCAACCUGGGAAUUGCGAUGGAGACUGCACGGCUAGAGUGUGUCAGAGGGGGGUAGAAUUCCACGUGUAGCAGUGAAAUGCGUAGAUAUGUGGAGGAACACCGAUGGUGAAGGCAGCCCCCUGGGAUAACACUGACGCUCAUGCACGAAAGCGUGGGGAGCGAACAGG